AUUAAGUAGGAACGAUGUACGUGAGUAAGUCCCUUGGCCUAGCAUGCUCACAGCAACACUUGAUGAUUGCAUGUAGAUCUAUUUUCUGUCUCAUUGAUGAAUAAAUACCACUUAAAGAUUCAACAACUUUCCCUUCUCGUCUCUCGCCUUGAGCAAAGGGACCUUACAAAAUAAUUUCACUUCCCAACUCAUUUUUUUACCUCCUUGCCACUGAAGACACCUCCAACCCUUCUUGUUAUCACAUGAAUAUAUUAUGCCCGAGCAAUUACACUCUGCGUAUUCUCGGGAAACUGAGUUGAAGCGUAAACAACCAUGGUCUUGUCCUCAUCCGGCCUUUGGGUAUAUUAGAGCUGGAUAUUCCAUUUGCGGCAAGUCAUGCUUCAUCUUAAGGAAGUCAUAAUAGACAGUUGUACGACUCGAAAAUCACAACCUCCUUACUGAAAGCAAUUAAAAAGAAAUUUUAGAACUUUUGGCCAAUCCACAUAUUGCAAUUACAGACCAACGCACACAUGUCUCUCUAUAUAUAGUUGUACACUUAUGAUUCCUCUAGACAAGUAAUGAAAUACUAUCGUUUUUAUUUUACUAAGAAAGUGAUUACUGUAAGGUGAAGAAGUUUAUAAUUCAGUAUAUCAUAUAUGGCUCAGAAGGUAUUUUUUAUAUUUUACAAAUUUGUACAUGUCUUGGUAUCCAUAGUAAAAAGAACAUCAUUGUAGUAUACUAGGCAUGUACCACGUCGAUAAAACGCAAGAAAGAUAUUGACUGUUGGUAUAAAAAGAAUGACAUUAGACCCAAGUGAUGCAUUUUAAAGUCGUAGGGGCCUAGGACCAAAAUUCAACAGUACAAGCUAUUACAUACAUAGUUCAAUAGCUUUCACUUCUCGACUUGAACAGAGAAACCUUCGAAACUUUUCACUUCCCAAAUGAUCACCGAGCCUUGUCAAAAUCCUGACAAUGAAAAAGUAAUAUCUUUCCUUAUAAUCUAUGACCAUAAUGCCAAUACCUCUCUUGCGUAAUACUUAAAACAACUUUUUUCCUAAUGUACCUUUGGGUUCCAUUAGAGUUGUAUGUUCCAUUUGCAUCAAGUCAUGCUUCAUCUCAAGGAAGCCAUAGUAGACGGCUGCACGACUUGGAAAUCACAACCUCCAUACUGAAAGCAAUUAAAAAGAAAUUUUAGAACUCUAAGGCAAUCCCCGUGUUACAAUUACAGACCACACAGUCUGUAAUUGUAACAAAGAGUAGUAAGUAAGACAGCAUCAUACUUUGAACAGCUUGUACCACUCGAUGAUAUACUUUUCCCUCAUGAUCAAUUUCAAUUCCCUCUACUUCUAUAGUGACUACAGAUCUUCGUUAUACUAUUAAGAAAAGUUUCAUUCUUGACAUGGGAUGGUUGAUGCUUACAUAUGAUGUCUUUUGCAAUUGAGAUUUGAAGUUAAACUACGUGAUAAGAGUAUAAGUCACUAAGCAAUGAGAAACCAAUUCAAUACCAGCUACCUUCCAAGAAUUAUAUAACGCAUAACAAUUAGCUACAAGUCUAUAACACAUCUAAUAAUUCUGCCAAUGGAAGUUUACUUUUUCCUAAUACUCCUGUCAUUAUCCGUGAUUAUCUUUUCUAAAACUUAGAUUCUCUAUGGAACAUAAAAAUAAAGCUACGCGUUUGAUGAUGAGCACGAUCUAAUUAUAUUCUGAAAAGAAUAUUAAACGUCAUUAAUAUCAAAGAUAUAUAUCAUUCUAAUGAUCACAGAAAUUUAUGUAUAAAAAGUUCAAAGCAUAAACUUAAUGUUUAUAGUAGGCCGGUAUUGAAGAUGACAAUCAAACCAGAAAUCUUGCAUUAUAGUCUUCAUUGUAACUUUAUUCAUAUAUCGAGUGACUUUUAAAGAUCGUUAACGUUUUCUUACAACAAUGAGAAAAAUUAUGUUUGCGAAAAUUGAUGAUGUGAGUGUAAUACUAAUAUUAGUAAUAGGUAUUUGAAAAUGACAAUUAAAUACGAAAUAAAUAAAGCUAAAUUUUGUGCUAAACUCUCAAAUCAUCCAAUCAAAUGACUUCUAAGUACAUGCAUGACAUGUAUCUUUCAAAAUACUAUGUUUUUUUUAUUUACCUAAUUAUAGUUAAUUAAUAUAUAUUAAAUUUAUGACUUAAAAUAGUAAGUUUUUAAUUAGAUAAUAUUUUUAUCAAUUUCAAUGUCGGCCACGGCAUGUGAUCAAAGCAAAAAAAUUGAAAUUUAUUAUUUAACAACUAUUUGAUAUAAAUAACUAUUUUCAAUUUAUUUCUUUUAAGAAAAAAAUAUCAAAAUGGCAUUUCGAUGAAUAACUAUCUGCAUUUUACAUGUGAUCAAAGCAAAAAAAUUAAAAUGCAGAUAGUUAUUCAGCGACAAAACUGCGAAACUAUCUUUAUUCACUUACACUUAGGUGUCAGACCACAUUCAAGCAACGGUCUAUAAUUACAAAUAUAAAGAUUUCUUUUACAAAUCUAAACAUAUUUCCUUGACUUCACAGAAGCCAUAGAUGAUACACACUGGUCAAAAAGAUAUAACAGAAAAAGAAUAAACUAAAAAUGAAAAGAUACUAAAGAAAUAGAAUAACUUACAUCUAUUGAAGCACCACUUGUUUUAAUCAUUACAGGUUCUCCCAAUCAACAUUUAUGGUGGAAAUAUGAGCAAUUUUUGGUCAGUAGCCGUUGUUUGAGCAAUAGACGC
RNAcentral lists this long non-coding RNA (2691 nucleotides) under Solanum tuberosum (potato). RNAcentral's name for it is "long non-coding RNA (STUB_LNC010888)". The record is from RNAcentral. Lineage: Eukaryota; Viridiplantae; Streptophyta; Magnoliopsida; Solanales; Solanaceae.